UUGGAGGGCAAGUCUGGUGCCAGCAGCCGCGGUAAUUCCAGCUCCAAUAGCGUAUAUUAAAGUUGUUGCAGUUAGAAAGCUCGUAGUUGAACUUCGGGGUUUACCCAUUGGUCAGGCUUAAUUGUCUGCACUGGUGAGAUGAAUCUCUACCUUCUGAGGAACUUUUAUGCCAUUUAUUUGGUGUGAUGGGAAAUCAGGACUGUUACUUUGAAAAAAUUAGAGUGUUUAAAGCAGGCUAACGUCUGAAUACAUUAGCAUGGAAUAAUGAAAUAGGACGGACUGAUUCUAACUCGUUGGUUUCUAGGAUCACCGUAAUGAUUAAUAGGGAUAGUUGGGGGCAUUAGUACUCAAUUGUCAGAGGUGAAAUUCUUGGAUUUAUUGAAGACUAACUACUGCGAAAGCAUUUGCCAAGGAUGUUUUCAUUAAUCAAGAACGAAAGUUUGGGGAUCGAAGACGAUCAGAUACCGUCGUAGUCUUAACCAUAAACUAUGCCGACUAGGGAUCGGACGAAGUUAAUUUUAUAAUGACGCGUUCGGCACCUUACGGGAAACCAAAGUGUUUGGGUUC
This 567-nucleotide ribosomal RNA is filed under the name uncultured Glomeromycotina. RNAcentral describes it as "SSU rRNA". It matches the Rfam family "Eukaryotic small subunit ribosomal RNA", at positions 548 to 1114 of the family's 1831-position model. Lineage: Eukaryota; Fungi; Glomeromycota. The record is from RNAcentral.